AUCCAGCUGACGAGUCUCAAAUGAGAUGAAAGACACAUCCUGGAU
This 45-nucleotide non-coding RNA is filed under the name Schistosoma bovis. RNAcentral also lists the same sequence under 1 other name. The record is from RNAcentral. Lineage: Eukaryota; Metazoa; Platyhelminthes; Trematoda; Strigeidida; Schistosomatidae.